CAGCGUUCAGUAUCCAGAGCUUGCAUCUGCCCAUCUGGGCCAGGCUCGGUGCAUCUGUCCCCAUGGAGCUGUCCCGGUGGAAGUUCUGCCCCCACUGCUUUGUCCUAAAGCUCCCUAAUUCUUCUUUUCAGAAUCUUUGCCCGCAUAUAUCCUCUGGACAGGGCUGGAACAGGACAGCAACUGUCAGAGUGUGCCCUGCAGAAUGGCUGGAGUCAAUGGGAAUGAAGCGGGAGAGAGAGAGUGGAUUCCAUGGUCAAGUGAGACUGAGAAGCUCUGGGCAAGGUUCCAGGAAACGGCGGGGCCCUAGAGCAUGAGGUAGGCAACCUGCUGAGACCCCCAGUUGCCGACCGAGGCUGGCCUGCUCUUGAACCUGGUUCUGCCUCUUCCCAGCUGUUUGGCCCUGCAAGACAGAUGAGGAUGUUAAUUUAACCUGCAGCACGUGACUGUGGUGAGGCUUAAAUGAGAAAACGUUCAUGAACCCAUCUAGCAAAGCGCCCAGCACUGAGUAGGCUCCUAGAUACUGGUUUCUUUCUAACACCUUGUCACAGUUUCCUAGCCCUGCCAUAACAAACGACCACAAAUUGGGAGGCUUAAACCAGCUUAUUUUUAUUCUCUCACAGUUCUGGAGGCUAGCAGCCUGAAAUUGAGGUGUUGGCAGGGCCACGCUCCCUCUGAAGGAUCAGGGAAGGAUCUUUCCUUGUCUCUUCCAGUUUUUGGGUUCCCUUGCUCAUGGCAGCAUCACACCAAUCACUGCCCCAUCUUCACAUGGC
RNAcentral lists this long non-coding RNA (770 nucleotides) under Homo sapiens (human). Its description in RNAcentral is "HSALNT0277326". Lineage: Eukaryota; Metazoa; Chordata; Mammalia; Primates; Hominidae. The record is from RNAcentral.